RNAcentral lists this long non-coding RNA (3614 nucleotides) under Equus asinus (donkey). RNAcentral's name for it is "lncRNA (ENSEASG00005036651.1)". The record is from RNAcentral. Lineage: Eukaryota; Metazoa; Chordata; Mammalia; Perissodactyla; Equidae.
GCCGCUCUCCUGACUCCUAGCCCAGAGGAGUCAGCCAGGCGCCCAGGCCAAGGCACUGGGUAUUUUGAGGCUCCAGCAUCAUCAGCAGGGUCUAGGAGGCCUCAGCCAUAUUGUAUUUCAUGUGACCCAGGCACUGGGCCAGCAAUGCAGCCACGGGGAGCCAACCUUGUGCCCUUGCCACUGACCUGGGCCCCAUCUCCUUUUCUGCUGGUCUCCAGAGCCAGACCAGGGCAGAGGCAUUGUGGGAAGGGCCCCUGCCAGGCCCAACAGGCACAAGAAGCAGGAGGCAAGAGGGCAACUUUAGCUGCCACCAAAGUGCCCAAGAAUGGGUUUUGGGCCCCUCAGCAACUCCAUCCUCUGCCCAUUCCACUGUAAAUAUCCUGAACAGUGUUUGUCUCUGGACAUCGUAUAGGGCAUAGGGAACCAACCAUCUGGGUUUGCCCUGGACGCUCCUGGUUUUAGCACUGAAAAUCCCAUGUCCCAUGAAACUCCUCGGUCCUGUGCAAGCAGGAAGGGUUGUUGGCAAUCUCCUACCAUCCUCCAGUUGUGACUCCCAUUUGAAGAUGCAGAAACUGAGGCCCAGGAAAGGCAAGUCCCUUGCCCAGGGUCACGGAGCUGGAAGAUGUGACCCCAGAAGACAGAACCAGGACAAUGGAUGGAUCUUCGGGGAGGCAGAUUUGAACUCAAUCUGAGAAAGAACUUGUAACAAUGUGAACAGUUUGACACCAGCUCUUGAGGGUCCUGCCAGGAGAUCAAGAGCUCCCUGUCAACUCUGGGCAUCUUCAGUGGGGUUGGAUGAGCACCCACAAAGUCCCUGAGGUCCCUAGUUAGGCAGGGACUGACCACCCCAACCUCCUUCUCAGGCCCCUCUCUCCCCAGGAGAUCCUGACCCCCAUCAAACCCACUGCCCUGCAUUCCAGACCCACAAGGCCCCACAGGCUGGCUGGAUCUUCCAGAGGCAAGUGAUGGUAGGUGAACAUGAGUUUGUGUCAGUGGUCUUCAUUGUCUGAAUAGGAGAAGUGACCAGUGGUGGGGCUCCCCUGCUCCAGGCCAGCCUACCUCGUCAGAAAGACCAACCCCUCCUUGAUGCACCCACAACCCCUUCCCUCACCUCAUCCACACCUGUGCCUCCAGUCUCACGGGCUGAAGGAAGCAGCUCAUCUAUGGGUAAGCUGAAUAUGUACAGGUUUGCUGCCAGCCUGGGUUCCUUGGGAACAGUGCCUAGCCCACGCCAGGCAUCUGUCAACGCUCAGAAGGUGUGUGUUUACUUCCCAGGCCCUGUUCAAACCCUUUCCUCAUUCAUGGUGCCCUACCAGGUACACAUGAUGCCCUCCUGCCCUUCCCCAUCCGCUCUUAGGAAAGAACCUGUGAAACCCAUUCCAAUCAAGAAGCCUGUGGCUGAGGCUUCCUGCCCCUGCCAUCCCUGGGGGAAAUUUUACUGUUAAAUCAGACAAGCUUGAAAGACUCACUUGAUUGCAUUGUGGCUAAGCUUACCAUUGUGGUGUUUUUGUUUAUUUGUUGGUUGGUUGGUUUGGAGAGGGAAGAGAAGGAUUUUCCAGAGUCUGGACUCAUGGCUUGGUGGGGCCUCCCAGGGUCAGCACUAAUUGUAAGAGUUUGGCGAGAUCUGCAGUUGAUACCAUUCAGGGCAACCCGCCCUGGUUUCCUUCCACACCAGGGAGUGCCCGUCAGUCAGUUUUAAAGCCAGCAGCUUGGUUAUUGGAACGUCCUGAGAAAGCCAUGACCCAGGGGACCAGCUAGGGAACACUCGGGUCUCAGCUCACCUUCUGCCAAACUCUAGGUCUCAUGAGCACUCUCGUUUCCGCUCCUUCCUGGGGCUGGCUGAGGUCAUGACCUUCUGAAAGAGCGCAGGGUCAGCCAGCCCAUCUGAAAUUUCCCCUCCCUAAAUGUGAAAGGAGAUAUGUCCAACUGUAAAUAGAGCCCACAUCCUUAUGACUCAGCAGAUGUGGCUGUCCUCAAUCCCAUCCCCUAGAAUGUCAAAUAGACCAGCCUCAGAGGUCUGACAGCAUUAGAACAGAGACUGCAAAGCCUGGGCCCAGAGGCACUUUCCCCAUGAGUCCUUUUGGACAAUACCCAGACACCCAGAUACACUCCCAGAGACAGAUGCACACACUCAGACACCCAGACACCCACACACACAUAGUCAGAUGCACACAUACAGAAACAAAGACAGACACACACCAAAAACUCAGACACAUCACUGAUGCACACACACAUACACAUACUCCUCCAAAGGACUCAGCCCGAGUCAGAUCUGUCCUCUACGCCUGACCCUGAACACCUCUUCCAAACUCAACAGGUGGCCACUGGCUCUCUGGGUCUCUGACCUGGAACCAGGGUCAUGAUGGCUAGAGGAAGGGAAAAUGGUAGAACUACUAAUUCGUCACACUAAUUCAACACCCAGAAAAGAAGUGUCAUUCUUUCAUUUAUUUGGUAACUUUCCCAAGUCCAGCCAUGGGAAGGCAUAAGGACUAGCAAUUAGAACACUAACCCAUACCUUCUCUCUCCUUCUCCUAUCAGAAGGUUACCCAUGCUUUAAGGCCAGACAAAAGUUAAUGCAUAGUAGGCCUUCAACAUCAAUGCUAUUGAACUUACUACGGCCUUGAGGGACAGGUGAGCUGGGAGAGGGUGGCUGCCCAGCACCUGGUUCCAAGGACUCUAUUUUGGCUUCUUGCCACUCUAAUGUCCUGCAGCUAUCCUUGCAAUUUUGGACCAACCAAGGAAUGAUAACUCAUUCAUUAAUUCAUUUUGUAAAUACUUACUGAGCACCCAUAGGCACUGCACAGAAAACAGCAAAUAGAGACCCAGUCCUGCUCUCAUACAGCUUAUGGCCCACCAGAGGAGAGAAACAUCAAAAACCCAAGAUCCAAACCUGUGAACCCCAGGCCGCCAAAGCAGAGUGUGCAAACUUAGCCACUACGCCACUGGGCCGGCACCCCCAAGUAAUUCUUAAAAAGAGAUUAGGACACGCAGGGAGGGAAGACCGUAUGAAGACACAGGGAGAAGACGGCCAUCUACAAGCCAGUGAGAGAGACCUCAGAAGGAACCAACCCUGCUGACACCUUGAUCUUGGACUUUUAGCCUCCAAAAUUGUGAGAAAAUAAAGUUCAGUGGUUAAGGCACCCAGACUAUGUACUUUACUAUGGCAGCCCUAGUCAACUAAUACAAUAUUUAAUUAAAAUUAAUGAGUGUCACAAAGGUGCAGUGAGAGGUUGUAGGAGGGGGACCUAAUCUCUUCCAGAAAGGGGGGAGGGUCACAGGAAAUGUCAUUUAACUUGAGACCUAAAGAAUUAGGAGUUACUUCUAAAAAGGUAGAGAGUGGGUAGGGUUUGGGGUGGAAGAGGGGACACUGUGGACAGAAGACCAUGCCCAGGUCCUGAAGCAGGCAGGAAGGAGCCUGCACCUGUGAGGAACACACGGUGCUCCUGGUCCGGAGGCUGGAGCACGUGAGCAAAGGGCCCCAAGGCUGGAGUAACAGGCAGGGGCCAGUUGAGAAGGCGCAUCUUUGGCCAUGUUCAGGAUUUUGGGAUUCAAGAUGAGAGACAGGAGAAAUGGCUGAAUCAGUGGGUUAGCUUUUACUUUGAGAAAUGCUUUUU